GAUGAACGCUGGCGGCGUGCCUAAUACAUGCAAGUCGAGCGAACAGACGAGGAGCUUGCUCCUCUGACGUUAGCGGCGGACGGGAGAGUAACACGUGGAUAACCUACCUAUAAGACUGGGAUAACUUCGGGAAACCGGAGCUAAUACCGGAUAAUAUAUUGAACCGCAUGGUUCAAUAGUGAAAGACGGUUUUGCUGUCACUUAUAGAUGGAUCCGCGCCGCAUUAGCUAGUUGGUAAGGUAACGGCUUACCAAGGCCACGAUGCGUAGCCGACCUGAGAGGGUGAUCGGCCACACUGGAACUGAGACACGGUCCAGACUCCUACGGUAGGCAGCAGUAGGGAAUCGUCCGCAAGGGGCGAAAGCCUGACGGAGCAACGCCGCGUGAGUGAUGAAGGUCUUCGGAUCGUAAAACUCUGUUAUUAGGGAAGAACAAAUGUGUAAGUACCUAUGCACGUCUUGACGGUACCUAAUCAGAAAGCCACGGCUAACUACGUG
RNAcentral lists this ribosomal RNA (497 nucleotides) under uncultured bacterium. RNAcentral's name for it is "partial 16S ribosomal RNA". It matches the Rfam family "Bacterial small subunit ribosomal RNA", at positions 28 to 507 of the family's 1533-position model. The record is from RNAcentral.